GACGAACGCUGGCGGCGUGCUUAACACAUGCAAGUCGAACGGAAAGGCCCCUUUGGGGGUACUCGAGUGGCGAACGGGUGAGUAACACGUGAGUAACCUGCCCUUGACUUCGGGAUAACUUCAGGAAACUGGGGCUAAUACCGGAUAGGAAUCCUUGCUGCAUGGUGGGGGUUGGAAAGCUUCGGCGGUUUUGGAUGGACUCGCGGCUUAUCAGCUUGUUGGUGGGGUAGUGGCUUACCAAGGCUUUGACGGGUAGCCGGCCUGAGAGGGCGACCGGCCACAUUGGGACUGAGGUACGGCCCAGACUCCUACGGGAGGCAGCAGGGGGGAAUAUUGCACAAGGGGCGGAAGCCUGAUGCAGCAACGCCGCGUGCGGGAUGACGGCCUUCGGGUUGUAAACCGCUUUCAGCAGGGGCGAAGCUUGUGGUGACGGUACCUGCAGAAGAAGCACCGGCUAACUACGUG
This 465-nucleotide ribosomal RNA is filed under the name uncultured bacterium. Its description in RNAcentral is "partial 16S ribosomal RNA". It matches the Rfam family "Bacterial small subunit ribosomal RNA", at positions 28 to 507 of the family's 1533-position model. The record is from RNAcentral.